UUGUGAGUCACAUCUUGAUCUGUAGAGGAGCUGGGUCACGUGCAUUGUCACAUACUGCACUUGCCUUUCCCUUUGCUACUGUGGCAAACUGUAACAUUUGAAAGCCAAAUUCUGAGAUGCCAUCAUUUAAAUGACUUAUAUGUUAACAUCCACAACUUCAAAUUAACAUCACUGGCAGAACUGGAGGAAAACCCUGGAGAACCCAAUGCCACAGCUACUGACAGGCUGUGAGGAUGACAUCUGUCUCCCUCUGUUCCUGGCAGCAAGGAUUUGCGGUCUCUUACUUCUAUGAGAGGACUCUGCUUUGGUUUGCUGCUCAUGGCGAGGAGUUCUGCAAAGCACAGAUGUGGCUGGCAAAGUGGGGAACAAAGCUUGGGUAGAGGAGAUAACACAGCAGCCUUUCAGUUGUCCUGAAGGAACCAGUUAUGGCCUGACUGUGUGUCAGUGGGGUGCCUGCUGUAGUCUGCCUGGCACUGCAGGUAUCCACCAGCAAUCUUCACUGCUUCCCAAAGCUGCUGCUGUGAUGUUAAAUACAUUGGUUUCUGACUUGGCAAUGUCUUAACUUCCCAAAGUGAAAAACAGUGCAUAUUCCCAGUGUGUCUUCAAUUCAAGCAGGCCAUAAGGAACAUCUCUGUAGCCCAGUAGUGGGAUCUUCCAUAGGAAGCACAGCCCUUUAGCAC
RNAcentral lists this long non-coding RNA (680 nucleotides) under Parus major (Great Tit). Its description in RNAcentral is "lncRNA (ENSPMJG00000013188.1)". The record is from RNAcentral. Lineage: Eukaryota; Metazoa; Chordata; Aves; Passeriformes; Paridae.